AUGAACUACUAUCCGGUCUUUCCCUACCACUUCGACCUCAGCGGCACUGCCUUUGGAGCCAUGGCCAAGGACGGCCGCAACGACGAGCUCCGCAAUGCGGGCAUCAUUGACAUGCAGUUCCGGAGGGUGCCGUGCCAGUACCCCGGGCUGGCGGUGAUGUUCCAUGUGGAGAAGGGGUCGAACCCGUUCUACAUGGCAAUCCUGGUGGAAUACGAGAACGGCGACGGCGAUGUGAAACUGCUGGAAAUCAUGGAGUCACGUCCGGUUGCUGGCAACGGCGGCGAGAUGGCUCCAACGGGGGAGUGGGUGCCCAUGAAGGAGUCAUGGGGAUCCAUCUGGAGGAUGGAUGCCCGGCACCGCAUGCAGGGGCCAUUCUCGUUACGCAUCACUAACGAGUCUGGCAAGAUGCUCGUCGCCGAUCAGGUCAUCCCCGCUGUCUGGAAGCCGGAAAAAGUAUACAGCUCGGUCAUCCAGUUUGAUUAA
This 483-nucleotide ribosomal RNA is filed under the name Triticum aestivum (bread wheat). RNAcentral's name for it is "partial small subunit ribosomal RNA". The record is from RNAcentral. Lineage: Eukaryota; Viridiplantae; Streptophyta; Magnoliopsida; Poales; Poaceae.